Molecule: transfer RNA, 68 nt
Filed under: Marmota monax (woodchuck)
Lineage: Eukaryota; Metazoa; Chordata; Mammalia; Rodentia; Sciuridae
Description: tRNA.Ala
Source: RNAcentral
GUGGUGGUUCAGUGGGAGAGUGCUCGCCUAGCAUGCAUGAGGCACUGGGUUCAAUCCUCGGCACCACA